UGAAUUUUUUUUCUUCAUUUCAUUGGAUGUCUUGGUGGUUGGAAUCCUGCUUGCAUUUAUGCUAAACCUACUAAAAGAAUAAGUUUUUCAAUUAUCUUGUCAUGAUUACUAUCUAAAGCCGAAGCUAUCUAUUGUUUGAUGUACUUAACAGAAUCUCCAUUUGACAAAAUACUAAACUAUGAUGCUAUUCAAGGAGCAAACGUAGAUCCAACCACAUUUUAUAACAUAGGGGACCUUGAGAUUCAAGACAAUUUGGCACGAAUAUGGGUUGAUAUUGGGACUAAUGAUUCAUUGCUUUUGGAUGUCCUAUUGAAUGCAUUGACACAGAUAAGCUCUGAGUAAGAUCUUUAUUUAGCUGGUGUUUCCAUGCUUUCUUUUCCCCCUCAGUAUAUAGUGAAUUAUCUCAUUGUUUCCAACUCCUCAGUCCCUUUUUCUUAUGUUCUUAUAUUAAAGCAAUUAGAUUGAACUAUUAGCUGGUAAAAUAGAUGUUGUAGUUGUAACCAAGGGUUCUCACAGUAGAAGUGUUGUUUGACCAUAUGAGGGAAUAAUGGGUUGUACACCAUUUCUGGACUUGUAUGAAAAUUUCAAUGAAGCGA
This is a long non-coding RNA of Beta vulgaris subsp. vulgaris (sugar beet), 596 nucleotides long. RefSeq lists it as uncharacterized. The transcript is spliced from 2 exons. The record is from RefSeq and is a predicted model, not a curated record. NCBI's taxonomy places the organism in Eukaryota, Viridiplantae, Streptophyta, Magnoliopsida, Caryophyllales, Amaranthaceae.